This 232-nucleotide long non-coding RNA is filed under the name Lathyrus oleraceus (garden pea). RNAcentral's name for it is "Pisum sativum (pea) long non-coding RNA (PSAT_LNC009018)". The record is from RNAcentral. Lineage: Eukaryota; Viridiplantae; Streptophyta; Magnoliopsida; Fabales; Fabaceae.
UCUGUUUCAGUAUUCAGGCCGACUUUCUCCGUACCAGACGGAUUCUUCUUUUGAGAUUGCUUCUUUGCCGAUUCUGACAGGCAUUGUUAAUUAUUUCCCAUCAGAGUGCAAAUUGUUCGUCUGUUCUUGGUAUUCAAUCACUCUUCACCCUGAUCAUCUGAAAGCCGAGGCUAUUCAUAUCGACAGGUUCACAGUGGAUUGAAUAGGGGCAGCUGUAACACCUCAAAAUUUG